This 450-nucleotide ribosomal RNA is filed under the name uncultured bacterium. RNAcentral's name for it is "partial 16S ribosomal RNA". It matches the Rfam family "Bacterial small subunit ribosomal RNA", at positions 354 to 796 of the family's 1533-position model. The record is from RNAcentral.
GUGGGGAAUAUUGGACAAUGGGCGCAAGCCUGAUCCAGCAAUGCCGCGUGGGUGAAGAAGGCCUUCGGGUUGUAAAGCCCUUUUGUACGGAAAGAAAUCCUGGUGGUUAAUACCCGCCGGGGAUGACGGUACCGUAAGAAUAAGCACCGGCUAACUUCGUGCCAGCAGCCGCGGUAAUACGAAGGGUGCAAGCGUUAAUCGGAAUUACUGGGCGUAAAGCGUGCGUAGGUGGUUUCUUAAGUCUGUCGUGAAAGCCCUGGGCUCAACCUGGGAAUGGCGAUGGAUACUGGGAGGCUAGAGUGCGGUAGAGGAUGGCGGAAUUCCCGGUGUAGCGGUGAAAUGCGUAGAGAUCGGGAGGAACAUCUGUGGCGAAGGCGACGAUCUGGGCCUGAACUGACGCUGAGGAGCGAAAGCUAGGGGAGCAAACGGGAUUAGAAACCCCAGUAGUCC